UCUCUCUCUCUCUCUCUCUCGUCCUCUCCUCAUCAAAACUCUCGCUCACUCUCUUCCUCUUAAAUCUCCCACCCUCUCAAAAUCAAAAUCAAAAAUUCACAAACAUAACACAAAUACAUUAUGAAUGAAUUCAAAUAUCAAACUACAAAAAAAACAUCAUCAACAUUAACCAUACAUAUCCAAAUACAAAAUGAAAAGAUUACCGAAACAAGGCGGGUGCGAC
RNAcentral lists this long non-coding RNA (223 nucleotides) under Lathyrus oleraceus (garden pea). Its description in RNAcentral is "Pisum sativum (pea) long non-coding RNA (PSAT_LNC042139)". Lineage: Eukaryota; Viridiplantae; Streptophyta; Magnoliopsida; Fabales; Fabaceae. The record is from RNAcentral.